RNAcentral lists this ribosomal RNA (448 nucleotides) under Freidbergia mirabilis. RNAcentral describes it as "partial large subunit ribosomal RNA". Lineage: Eukaryota; Metazoa; Arthropoda; Insecta; Diptera; Tephritidae. The record is from RNAcentral.
AAUUGAAUUGGUUUAAAUGGCCGCAGUAAUUUGACUGUGCAAAGGUAGCAUAAUCAUUAGUCUUUUAAUUGAAGGCUUGUAUGAAUGGUUGGACGAAGUAUAAUCUGUUUCAUAUAAAUUUAUAUUAAAAAUUUAUUUUUUAGUAAAAAAGCUAAAAUUUUUUUAAAAGACGAGAAGACCCUAUAAAUCUUUAUAAUUUUUAUUAUUUUUAUUAAUUAGAUUUAUUAAAUUAUAAUAUUAAAAUUUAUUUUAUUGGGGUGAUAUUAAAAUUUAAAUAACUUUUAAUUAAUUUUACAUUAAUUUAUGGUUUAUUGAUCCAUUAAUAAUGAUUAAAAGAAUAAGUUACUUUAGGGAUAACAGCGUAAUUUUUUUGGAGAGUUCUUAUUGAUAAAAAAGUUUGCGACCUCGAUGUUGGAUUAAAGUUUAUUUUUAGGUGUAGAAGCUAAAA